GCAGUGGUGGUUCAGUGGUGGAGUUCUUGCCCUCCACGUGGGAGACCCAAGUUUGAUUCUUGGCCACCGCA
Molecule: transfer RNA, 71 nt
Filed under: Loxodonta africana (African savanna elephant)
Lineage: Eukaryota; Metazoa; Chordata; Mammalia; Proboscidea; Elephantidae
Rfam family: tRNA
About the family: Transfer RNA (tRNA) molecules are approximately 80 nucleotides in length. Their secondary structure includes four short double-helical elements and three loops (D, anti-codon, and T loops).
Source: Rfam by way of RNAcentral